GGUGAGGCUUUUCCAGUAGUUCUU
Molecule: unclassified non-coding RNA, 24 nt
Filed under: Dictyostelium discoideum
Lineage: Eukaryota; Evosea; Eumycetozoa; Dictyosteliales; Dictyosteliaceae
Source: RNAcentral